UACGAAGGUCCCGAGCGUUAGCCGGAUUUAUUGGGUUUAAAGGGUGCGUAGGCGGGUUAUUAAGUCAGUGGUGAAAGCCUACAGCUUAACUGUAGAAUUGCCAUUGAUACUGAUGAUCUUGAGUAUGAUUGAGGUGGGCGGAAUGUGUCAUGUAGCGGUGAAAUGCUUAGAUAUGACACAGAACACCGAUUGCGAAGGCAGCUCACUAAGUCAUAACUGACGCUGAUGCACGAAAGCGUGGGGAGCAAACAGG
Molecule: ribosomal RNA, 253 nt
Filed under: uncultured bacterium
Lineage: Bacteria
Description: partial 16S ribosomal RNA
Rfam family: Bacterial small subunit ribosomal RNA
Source: RNAcentral